Molecule: small RNA, 553 nt
Filed under: Pongo abelii (Sumatran orangutan)
Lineage: Eukaryota; Metazoa; Chordata; Mammalia; Primates; Hominidae
Description: processed transcript
Source: RNAcentral
AGUGUUUACCAUAAAGGGCAGCUGUGAAGCUGUGAGAUGGGAGCAUCAAUCUAUUGAUCAGAAAGUGGUUGUUCAGUACCUUGGAUUUCUGAGUGGGCAAGGCUGGACUCUGAGCCCUGGAACCUCUGAAGUGAACACUGCAGGGCCAUUUGCCCAACAGUUGUAUUUUCAGUUCUUCCAGUGUGAAUCAGUUAAUAUUAUCGGGAACGAGGGAGAGGUUGAUCCUAGGAGGAAAUCAACCACAGUGAAAAGGCUUGGGCCGCUUUUGUUUUCACCUCCUUUUGCUGAACAAAUUUGAUUUCCGGAGUCAGUCAUUUUACUGUCAAGAAAUUUCUGCGGCAUUCUGCAACAGUUUCCAACGUGGCUAGAUCCGUCAGAGACUGAAGCCGUGGAGAACGCUCUCGGGGCCUUUGCCACUUCUUGGAGUAGAAGCCGACAGAGAGCUGUUUGGAAACGUCUUCUUCACACACCAGUUGAAGACUAGGCUUUGGAGGUUUUCAAAGCAGACUGUGCUUGGAAGGGCAGGGAGAAGUAACAUUCUGCAAAUCGCCGU